Molecule: ribosomal RNA, 1523 nt
Filed under: uncultured bacterium
Lineage: Bacteria
Description: partial 16S ribosomal RNA
Rfam family: Bacterial small subunit ribosomal RNA
Source: RNAcentral
AGAGUUUGAUCUGGCUCAGGACGAACGCUGGCGGCGUGCUUAACACAUGCAAGUCGAACGAGAAGAGAUGAGAAGCUUGCUUCUUAUCGAUUCGAGUGGCAAACGGGUGAGUAACGCGUAAGCAACCUGCCCUCUAGAUGGGGACAACAGCUGGAAACGGCUGCUAAUACCGAAUACGUUCUUUCUGCCGCAUGGCAGAGGGAAGAAAGGGAGGCUCUUCGGAGCUUUCGCUGGAGGAGGGGCUUGCGUCUGAUUAGCUAGUUGGAGGGGUAACGGCCCACCAAGGCGACGAUCAGUAGCCGGUCUGAGAGGAUGAACGGCCACAUUGGGACUGAGACACGGCCCAGACUCCUACGGGAGGCAGCAGUGGGGAAUCUUCCGCAAUGGACGAAAGUCUGACGGAGCAACGCCGCGUGAACGAUGACGGCCUUCGGGUUGUAAAGUUCUGUUAUACGGGACGAAUGGUACGACGGCCAAUACCCGUCGUAAGUGACGGUACCGUAAGAGAAAGCCACGGCUAACUACGUGCCAGCAGCCGCGGUAAUACGUAGGUGGCAAGCGUUGUCCGGAAUUAUUGGGCGUAAAGGGCGCGCAGGCGGCGUCGUAAGUCGGUCUUAAAAGUGCGGGGCUUAACCCCGUGAGGGGACCGAAACUGCGAUGCUAGAGUAUCGGAGAGGUAAGCGGAAUUCCUAGUGUAGCGGUGAAAUGCGUAGAUAUUAGGAGGAACACCAGUGGCGAAAGCGGCUUUCUGGACGACAACUGACGCUGAGGCUCGAAGGUAUGGGUAGCAAACAGGAUUAGAUACCCUGGUAGUCCAUACCGUAAACGAUGAAUGCUAAGUGUUGGAGGGUUUCCGCCCUUCAGUGCUGCAGCUAACGCAUUAAGCAUUCCGCCUGGGGAGUACGGCCGCGAGGCUGAAACUCAAAGGAAUUGACGGGGGCCCGCACAAGCGGUGGAGCAUGUGGUUUAAUUCGAAGCUACGCGAAGAACCUUACCAGGUCUUGACAUACUAUGCAAAUCUAAGAGAUUAGACGUUCCCUUCGGGGACAUGGAUACAGGUGGUGCAUGGUUGUCGUCAGCCCGUGUCGUGAGAUGUUGGGUUAAGUCCCGCAACGAGCGCAACCCUUAUUAUCAGUUGCCAGCAUUAAGUUGGGCACUCUGGUGAGACUGCCGGUGACAAACCGGAGGAAGGUGGGGAUGACGUCAAAUCAUCAUGCCCCUUAUGACCUGGGCUACACACGUGCUACAAUGGAUGGUACAACGAGUUGCGAACUCGCGAGAGUAAGCUAAUCUCUUAAAGCCAUUCUCAGUUCGGAUUGUAGGCUGCAACUCGCCUACAUGAAGUCGGAAUCGCUAGUAAUCGCGGAUCAGCAUGCCGCGGUGAAUACGUUCCCGGGCCUUGUACACACCGCCCGUCACACCAUGAGAGUUUGUAACACCCAAAGUCGGUGGGGUAACCUUUUAGGAACCAGCCGCCUAAGGUGAGACAGAUGAUUAGGGUGAAGUCGUAACAAGGUAACCGU